UAUCGCCGAUUGCCUUGAGUUGAUCUGGCUCAGAACAACGCUGGCGGCGUGCCUAACACAUGCAAGUCGAGCGAGAAAAGGGGAGCAAUCCCCUGAGUAAAGCGGCGCACGGGUGAGUAACACGUGGGUAAUCUGCCCUGGAGUGGGGAAUAACACCGGGAAACCGGUGCUAAUACCGCAUACGAUCAUGAGGUCUGCGGACUUUGUGAUGAAAGGAGCAAUUCGCUCUAGGAGGAGCCCGCGGCUGAUUAGCUAGUUGGUGAGGUAAUGGCUCACCAAGGCAACGAUCAGUAUCCGGUCUGAGAGGACGGUCGGACACACUGGAACUGAGACACGGUCCAGACUCCUACGGGAGGCAGCAGUGGGGAAUUUUUGGCAAUGGGGGCAACCCUGACCAAGCAACGCCGCGUGGGUGAUGAAGCCUCUUGGGACGUAAAACCCUUUCGACGGGGAAGAAACCGCAAGGUUGACGGUACCCGUAGAAGAAGCCCCGGCUAACUCCGUGCCAGCAGCCGCGGUAAUACGGGGGGGGCAAGCGUUGUUCGGAAUUACUGGGCGUAAAGGGCGCGUAGGCGGUUCGCUAAGUUGGAUGUGAAAACUCUGGGCUCAACCCAGAGCCUGCAUCCAAAACUGGCGGGCUAGAGUUCUGGAGGGGGUAGCGGAAUUCCUGGUGUAGCGGUGAAAUGCGUAGAUAUCAGGAGGACACCGGUGGCGAAGGCGGCUACUGGACAGAACUGACGCUGGGCGCGAAGCUAGGGAGCAACAGGAUAGAUACCUGGUU
Molecule: ribosomal RNA, 781 nt
Filed under: uncultured bacterium
Lineage: Bacteria
Description: bacterial SSU rRNA
Rfam family: Bacterial small subunit ribosomal RNA
Source: RNAcentral